This 787-nucleotide long non-coding RNA is filed under the name Rattus norvegicus (Norway rat). Its description in RNAcentral is "long non-coding RNA NONRATT028985". The record is from RNAcentral. Lineage: Eukaryota; Metazoa; Chordata; Mammalia; Rodentia; Muridae.
GGCCGGGGGUGAGUGAGAGGCGGCCUGGCUACGAGCCGGGCGGGUCCGGUGACUCCCUUCGAGGCCCCUGGCCGAUCCAGUGCGACAGUGCCGCGGCCUGCGGUAUAGGGCUCCCAGCGGGAGCUGGCCUGACAGGUCCUAUGGAGCUUGGGGCCAAGUAGGGGCGACCUGGGGGAGCAUGCGCUGCCCUUGACAUCCUUGGCCACCCAGACUUAGUCGGUUCGGUUUCGAGCCUGGAUCUCUUAGAAGGGCUGGGCAGUAAUGGCGUGGCUGGGAGCCCUGGGGCAGACGCAGGUUCCGCCUCUAAAUCCUCUACACUUGACACCCAGAGUGUGUGUCUGGAAGGUUGACUUCCAGUUCUUACUAACUGCGUCCAAUAAGUCCAGCAAUUGUUGCAAUAUAAGAGGGACUGGUUGUGGAUGUCCAUCGAGGGCCCCCGGAGGGCGGCACAGCGGCAGAAUCACCUUCCCGAGCGAGCCUGCCUCCAGGACCAGUGACUGCCGAUGAGCGGUGAAAGAUGACGUCCAAGGGGGCUGCCAUGUCUUUCUCCCGAAAGAGCUAUAGGUUGACCUCAGAUGCUGAGAAGUCCAGGGUCACAGGCAUUGUGCAAGAGAAGCUACUGAGCGACUACCUGUACCGGAUCUUUUCCUCUCCUGACCAUGGGACCCCUGCAGCCACCAGCAGGAAACCGCUGAACUUCCAUAACCUGCCAGAGCAUGUGGACCAGCUGCUGCAGGUGGACGACGAAGAGAGCCAGGGACAAGUUGAAGGCCGACUUGGCCCAUCU